This 501-nucleotide ribosomal RNA is filed under the name uncultured bacterium. Its description in RNAcentral is "partial 16S ribosomal RNA". It matches the Rfam family "Bacterial small subunit ribosomal RNA", at positions 29 to 523 of the family's 1533-position model. The record is from RNAcentral.
AUUGAACGCUGGCGGCAUGCCUUACACAUGCAAGUCGAACGGCAGCACGGGUGCUUGCACCUGGUGGCGAGUGGCGAACGGGUGAGUAAUACAUCGGAACGUACCUUAUCGUGGGGGAUAACGCAGCGAAAGCUGUGCUAAUACCGCAUACGCCCUGAGGGGGAAAGCGGGGGAUCGCAAGACCUCGCGCGAUUAGAGCGGCCGAUGCCUGAUUAGCUAGUUGGUGGGGUAAAAGCCCACCAAGGCGACGAUCAGUAGCUGGUCUGAGAGGACGAUCAGCCACAAUGGGGCUGAGACACGGCCCAGACUCCUACGGGAGGCAGCAGUGGGGAAUUUUGGACGAUGGGGGCAACCCUGAUCCAGCAAUGCCGCGUGAGUGAAGAAGGCCUUCGGGUUGUAAAGCUCUUUUGUCAGGGAAGAAGCACCGGCUCUAACACAGUCCGGGAAUGACGGUACCUGAAGAAUAAGCACCGGCUAACUACGUGCCAGCCGCCGCAGUAA